This 329-nucleotide unclassified non-coding RNA is filed under the name fungal sp. RNAcentral's name for it is "partial internal transcribed spacer region". The stretch from base 1 to 46 matches the Rfam family "Eukaryotic small subunit ribosomal RNA", at positions 1786 to 1831 of the family's 1831-position model. Lineage: Eukaryota; Fungi. The record is from RNAcentral.
AAGUCGUAACAAGGUAACCGUAGGUGAACCUGCGGUUGGAUCAUUAAUAAAUCAUAAAAGAAGAUUUGAUGUUUAAAAAAAUUUUUUUUUUUUAAACACUUUGUCUUUCUUUUUUAACAUUUUGUGAACUGUUUACUGUUUGUUUGGUAGGGCUUAUAGAGAAAUGAGAUUACUUGAAAAAAUAAUUUCAUAUUUUUGAAAAUCCCUUUUUUUUAUAUAAGGAUUUUUACCUACCAAUUUUAUAAUUUGAACUUUGUAGUAUUUAUUUGUCUUGAAUUAAAUUAUUAUACUAAUUUAAACAACUUUUGACAACGGAUCUCUAGGCUCUC